GUCCAAGGUGAUUCCUUCUCCCAGGGACCAAGUAAGCCCAUCUCAAGAAUGUAGCAACUCAGAAGAAAGCUUGGCAUGCUUAAAGUCUUUGGGGAGCAAGGUAAGCAUGUUUCCUUUGCCUCACUUUGGCUGCCUACAUGC
Nannospalax galili (Upper Galilee mountains blind mole rat) is the source of this 141-nucleotide small nucleolar RNA. Lineage: Eukaryota; Metazoa; Chordata; Mammalia; Rodentia; Spalacidae. The record is from Ensembl.